RNAcentral lists this ribosomal RNA (468 nucleotides) under uncultured bacterium. RNAcentral describes it as "partial 16S ribosomal RNA". It matches the Rfam family "Bacterial small subunit ribosomal RNA", at positions 28 to 507 of the family's 1533-position model. The record is from RNAcentral.
GACGAACGCUAGCGGCGCGCCUAACACAUGCAAGUCGAACGGAGUCAAGAGGAGCUUGCUUUUCUUGACUUAGUGGCGAACGGGUGAGUAACGCGUGAGUAACCUGCCCUGGAGUGGGGGACAACAGUUGGAAACGACUGCUAAUACCGCAUAAGCCCACGGAUCCGCAUGGAUCUGCGGGAAAAGGAUUUAUUCGCUUCAGGAUGGACUCGCGUCCAAUUAGCUAGUUGGUGAGGUAACGGCCCACCAAGGCGACGAUUGGUAGCCGGACUGAGAGGUUGAACGGCCACAUUGGGACUGAGACACGGCCCAGACUCCUACGGGAGGCAGCAGUGGGGGAUAUUGCACAAUGGGGGAAACCCUGAUGCAGCGACGCCGCGUGGAGGAAGAAGGUUUUCGGAUUGUAAACUCCUGUCGUUAGGGACGAUAAUGACGGUACCUAACAAGAAAGCACCGGCUAACUACGUG